AGAGCUCAAAUUUCGAAUCUGGCGGUCUACGGCCGUCCGAGUUGUAAACUAGAGAAGCGUCAUCCGCGUCGGUCCGCAUACAAGUCCCCUGGAACGGGGCGUCAUAGAGGGUGAGAAUCCCGUCUUUGAUGCGGUCCCCCGUCGCUCUACGAUGCGCUCUCAAAGAGUCGAGUUGUUUGGGAAUGCAGCUCAAAACGGGUGGUAAACUCCAUCUAAAGCUAAAUAUUGGCGAGAGACCGAUAGCGAA
RNAcentral lists this ribosomal RNA (247 nucleotides) under Gomphales sp. 1 CRJH-2017. Its description in RNAcentral is "partial 28S ribosomal RNA". It matches the Rfam family "Eukaryotic large subunit ribosomal RNA", at positions 104 to 344 of the family's 3401-position model. The record is from RNAcentral. Lineage: Eukaryota; Fungi; Basidiomycota; Agaricomycetes; Gomphales.